AUGCCGUCUCCACAGGGUCCAGCCUCCACCGGAGCCGAUCUCUCUGCUGAGCACGCCCCGCGCCGCCGUUGCUGCCGAGGGCUCCUCGGGGCCGCUGCAGCCGGGGAGGCGGCCUGCGGGAGGGCCCUAAAUGUGGCCGACGACUCCAUCCCCGGUCGCAUGUGGCGGCGGUCAGCCCAGCUCCGCCUCUUCCAGCCCAUCUUCUUGGGCAUCAUUGGUAGUGAAGAAGGACUCUUGCAGCUGCGAAAUAUUAGCAGAGGAAAAUCUAUAUGGUUUGAAGGGUUCAGAUUCAUAAUCUGA
RNAcentral lists this ribosomal RNA (300 nucleotides) under Triticum aestivum (bread wheat). Its description in RNAcentral is "partial small subunit ribosomal RNA". The record is from RNAcentral. Lineage: Eukaryota; Viridiplantae; Streptophyta; Magnoliopsida; Poales; Poaceae.